CCUACGGGAGGCUGCAGUGGGGAAUAUUGCACAAUGGGGGAAACCCUGAUGCAGCGACGCCGCGUGAAGGAAGAAGUAUUUCGGUAUGUAAACUUCUAUCAGCAGGGAAGAAAAUGACGGUACCUGACUAAGAAGCCCCGGCUAACUACGUGCCAGCAGCCGCGGUAAUACGUAGGGGGCAAGCGUUAUCCGGAUUUACUGGGUGUAAAGGGAGCGUAGGCGGCGAUGCAAGUCAGUAGUGAAAGCCCGGGGCUCAACUCCGGGACUGCUUUUGAAACUGUAUGGCUAGAUUGCGGGAGAGGUAAGUGGAAUUCGUGGUGUAGCGGUGAAAUGCGUAGAUAUUAGGAGGAACACCAGUGGCGAAGGCAGCUUGCGGGACUGUAAAUGACGCUGAGGCUCGAAAGCGUGGGGAGCAAACAGGAUUAGAUACCCGAGUAGUC
This 440-nucleotide ribosomal RNA is filed under the name uncultured bacterium. RNAcentral describes it as "partial 16S ribosomal RNA". It matches the Rfam family "Bacterial small subunit ribosomal RNA", at positions 338 to 795 of the family's 1533-position model. The record is from RNAcentral.